CCCAGCUUGCUGGGUUGAUUAGUGGCGAACGGGUGAGUAACACGUGAGUAACCUGCCCCUGACUCUGGGAUAAGCGUUGGAAACGACGUCUAAUACUGGAUAUGAUCGCCGGCCGCAUGGUCUGGUGGUGGAAAGAUUUUUUGGUUGGGGAUGGACUCGCGGCCUAUCAGCUUGUUGGUGAGGUAAUGGCUCACCAAGGCGACGACGGGUAGCCGGCCUGAGAGGGUGACCGGCCACACUGGGACUGAGACACGGCCCAGACUCCUACGGGAGGCAGCAGUGGGGAAUAUUGCACAAUGGGCGAAAGCCUGAUGCAGCAACGCCGCGUGAGGGAUGACGGCCUUCGGGUUGUAAACCUCUUUUAGUAGGGAAGAAGCGACUGAAUUUAUUCUGAGUGACGGUACCUGCAGAAAAAGCACCGGCUAACUACGUGCCAGCAGCCGCGGUAAUACGUAGGGUGCAAGCGUUGUCCGGAAUUAUUGGGCGUAAAGAGCUCGUAGGCGGUUUGUCGCGUCUGCUGUGAAAUCCCGAGGCUCAACCUCGGGCUUGCAGUGGGUACGGGCAGACUAGAGUGCGGUAGGGGAGAUUGGAAUUCCUGGUGUAGCGGUGGAAUGCGCAGAUAUCAGGAGGAACACCGAUGGCGAAGGCAGAUCUCUGGGCCGUAACUGACGCUGAGGAGCGAAAGCGUGGGGAGCGAACAGGAUUAGAUACCCUGGUAGUCCACGCCGUAAACGUUGGGCGCUAGAUGUAG
RNAcentral lists this ribosomal RNA (751 nucleotides) under Curtobacterium sp. RNAcentral's name for it is "bacterial SSU rRNA". It matches the Rfam family "Bacterial small subunit ribosomal RNA", at positions 74 to 825 of the family's 1533-position model. The record is from RNAcentral. Lineage: Bacteria; Bacillati; Actinomycetota; Actinomycetes; Micrococcales; Microbacteriaceae.